Long non-coding RNA from Hippocampus comes (tiger tail seahorse), 472 nucleotides. RefSeq lists it as uncharacterized. The record is from RefSeq and is a predicted model, not a curated record. NCBI's taxonomy places the organism in Eukaryota, Metazoa, Chordata, Actinopteri, Syngnathiformes, Syngnathidae. The transcript has 5 exons.
GUGUACAAGAGGCUACAUAUGCAAAGGAUCGGAGUCCGUCGGAAACAUUCGGAUCCCGUCUGCAAAGACACAAGACAAGCGAGAAGAUGAUGGGCUUGCACUCAUCUCAUCUGGAAACUACAACAGGUGAGUGUCCCGUGGUGGCCAUGCUGGAAGCAAGCAACCAUGAACCAGUGAAAGUCCCCUGAUGGCAUUUUUCUAAGCAAACAAUCACAAGCAAGUCAGGGUGGCGUUCCUGCGGCGGCCAUUUUGUGAGCCAGACGGGUAUGUAUUGUGUUGGGGUUUUUUUUGGGUGAAUAUUUGAACAUGUGCGUCGCUGUGAUGACGAUUUUUCCUGCCAUUCGUAGUUUCCACCAGAGGUCAUUUGACCAAAGAUGGCUUAAUACUUCCUUGGAUGUCUGAGCGACUAAGAAAAUGUAUUUAUUUUUGUGAAGUUAGUUGACAUUUAAACUAACCUUAUUUUCACUUUCAG